AUUGAACGCUGGCGGCAGGCUUAACACAUGCAAGUCGAGCGGUAGCACAGGGGAGCUUGCUCCCUGGGUGACGAGCGGCGGACGGGUGAGUAAUGUCUGGGAAACUGCCUGAUGGAAGGGGAUAACUACUGGAAACGGUAGCUAAUACCGCAUAACGUCGCAAGACCAAAGAGGGGGACCUUCGGGCCUCUUGCCAUCAGAUGUGCCCAGAUGGGAUUAGCUAGUAGGUGGGGUAAUGGCUCACCUAGGCGACGAUCCCUAGCUGGUCUGAGAGGAUGACCAGCCACACUGGAACUGAGACACGGUCCAGACUCCUACGGGAGGCAGCAGUGGGGAAUAUUGCACAAUGGGCGCAAGCCUGAUGCAGCCAUGCCGCGUGUGUGAAGAAGGCCUUCGGGUUGUAAAGCACUUUCAGCGAGGAGGAAGGUGGUGAGCUUAAUACGUUCAUCAAUUGACGUUACUCGCAGAAGAAGCACCGGCUAACUCCGUG
RNAcentral lists this ribosomal RNA (490 nucleotides) under uncultured bacterium. RNAcentral describes it as "partial 16S ribosomal RNA". It matches the Rfam family "Bacterial small subunit ribosomal RNA", at positions 30 to 507 of the family's 1533-position model. The record is from RNAcentral.